AGCAGCCGCGGUAAUUCCAGCUCCAAUAGCGUAUAUUAAAGUUGUUGCAGUUAAAAAGCUCGUAGUUGAAUUUCGGGAUCAAUUUGUUGGUCGUGCCUCGGUACGUACUGGCAUUAUUGGUUUCUACCUUCUGAAGAACCUUGAUGUCAUUAAUUUGGUGUCUUGGGGAAUCAGGACUGUUACUUUGAAAAAAAUUAGAGUGUUUAAAGCAGGCAUACGCUUGAAUACAUUAGCAUGGAAUAAUGAAAUAGGACGUUUGAUUCUAUUUUGUUGGUUUCUAGGAUCGACGUAAUGAUUAAUAGGGAUAGUUGGGGGCAUUAGUAUUCAAUUGUCAGAGGUGAAAUUCUUGGAUUUAUUGAAGACUAACUACUGCGAAAGCAUUUGCCAAGGAUGUUUUCAUUAAUCAAGAACGAAAGUUAGGGGAUCGAAGACGAUCAGAUACCGUCGUAG
This 450-nucleotide ribosomal RNA is filed under the name uncultured Glomeromycotina. RNAcentral describes it as "SSU rRNA". It matches the Rfam family "Eukaryotic small subunit ribosomal RNA", at positions 569 to 1023 of the family's 1831-position model. Lineage: Eukaryota; Fungi; Glomeromycota. The record is from RNAcentral.